Molecule: ribosomal RNA, 253 nt
Filed under: uncultured bacterium
Lineage: Bacteria
Description: partial 16S ribosomal RNA
Rfam family: Bacterial small subunit ribosomal RNA
Source: RNAcentral
UACGGGGGGGGCAAGCGUUGUUCGGAAUUACUGGGCGUAAAGGGCUCGUAGGCGGCCAACUAAGUCGGAUGUGAAAUCCCCAGGCUUAACCUGGGAACUGCAUCCGAUACUGGAUGGCUUGAAUUCGGGAGAGGGAUGUGGAAUUCCAGGUGUAGCGGUGAAAUGCGUAGAUAUCUGGAGGAACACCGGUGGCGAAGGCGGCAUCCUGGACCGGUAUUGACGCUGAGGCGCGAAAGCUAGGGGAGCAAACGGG